Molecule: ribosomal RNA, 253 nt
Filed under: uncultured bacterium
Lineage: Bacteria
Description: partial 16S ribosomal RNA
Rfam family: Bacterial small subunit ribosomal RNA
Source: RNAcentral
UACAGAGGGUGCGAGCGUUAAUCGGAAUCACUGGGCUUAAAGGGCGCGUAGGCGGACCGUCAAGUCAGGUGUGAAAGCCCCCAGCUCAACUGGGGAAGUGCCUUUGAUACUGACGGGCUCGAGGGAGAUAGGGGCGUGCGGAACUUCCGGUGGAGCGGUGAAAUGCGUAGAUAUCGGAAGGAACACCGGUGGCGAAAGCGGCGCGCUGGAUCUCUUCUGACGCUGAGGCGCGAAAGCCAGGGGAGCGAACGGG